Molecule: unclassified non-coding RNA, 374 nt
Filed under: soil metagenome
Description: partial contains 5.8S ribosomal RNA, internal transcribed spacer 2, and large subunit ribosomal RNA
Rfam family: 5.8S ribosomal RNA (bases 1-120)
Source: RNAcentral
GAUGAAGAACGUAGCGAAAUGCGAUAAGUAAUGUGAAUUGCAGAAUUCAGUGAAUCAUCGAAUCUUUGAACGCACAUUGCGCCCGCCUGUAUUCUGGCGGGCAUGCCUGUUCGAGCGUCAUUACAACCCUCAAGCCCCCCGGCUUGGUGUUGGGGACCGGCCACCGGUGCCCUGCUGCUUCCGCGGCAGGCGCGCCCGGCCGCCCCCGAAAUGAAUUGGCGGCCCCGUCGCGGCCUCCCUCUGCGUAGUAGCACACAUCUCGCAGCUGGAGCGCGGCGCGGCCACUGCCGUAAAACGCACCAACUUUUUUUUACAGUUGACCUCGAAUCAGGUAGGAAUACCCGCUGAACUUAAGCAUAUCAAUAAGCGGAGGA